Long non-coding RNA from Populus euphratica (Euphrates poplar), 268 nucleotides. RefSeq lists it as uncharacterized. The record is from RefSeq and is a predicted model, not a curated record. The transcript is spliced from 3 exons. NCBI's taxonomy places the organism in Eukaryota, Viridiplantae, Streptophyta, Magnoliopsida, Malpighiales, Salicaceae.
CAGAAACAACAACUUCUCACCCGACACAAUAAGCGCAAGAAGAACGACAGAGCACAGGAUCACUGUAAGAACGAAAGGAACCAAGAAAAGAAUACAAGAUACCGGAAGAACGAAAGAUGGUUUCCAUGGGAAAAGGUCCACAAUUCAAGUCCAACCUUUAUGCAAUAGUCAAGGAUGUUGAGAUGGCAAACAUCACAAAAGGAGUGAAAAACGAGCUCAUCAAGACACCAUUCUGGAUAUUGAUAGAAUGUAUCUUGGAAGGGCGUGU